This 500-nucleotide ribosomal RNA is filed under the name uncultured bacterium. RNAcentral's name for it is "partial 16S ribosomal RNA". It matches the Rfam family "Bacterial small subunit ribosomal RNA", at positions 30 to 523 of the family's 1533-position model. The record is from RNAcentral.
AUUGAACGCUGGCGGCAGGCCUAACACAUGCAAGUCGAGCGGAUGAGGGUAGCUUGCUACCUGAUUCAGCGGCGGACGGGUGAGUAACGCCUAGGAAUCUGCCUGGUAGUGGGGGACAACGUUUCGAAAGGAACGCUAAUACCGCAUACGUCCUACGGGAGAAAGUGGGGGAUCUUCGGACCUCACGCUAUCAGAUGAGCCUAGGUACGAUUAGCUAGUUGGUGAGGUAAAGGCUCACCAAGGCGACGAUCGUUAACUGGUCUGAGAGGAUGAUCAGUCACACUGGAACUGAGACACGGUCCAGACUCCUACGGGAGGCAGCAGUGGGGAAUAUUGGACAAUGGGCGAAAGCCUGAUCCAGCCAUGCCGCGUGUGUGAAGAAGGUCUUCGGAUUGUAAAGCACUUUAAGUUGGGAGGAAGGGCAGUAAGUUAAUACCUUGCUGUUUUGACGUUACCAACAGAAUAAGCACCGGCUAACUUCGUGCCAGCCGCCGCAGUAA